Molecule: ribosomal RNA, 2727 nt
Filed under: Triticum aestivum (bread wheat)
Lineage: Eukaryota; Viridiplantae; Streptophyta; Magnoliopsida; Poales; Poaceae
Description: partial small subunit ribosomal RNA
Source: RNAcentral
AUGGGGAUGUCAUUUCUUCAAAUUUCAAGGUCCUCUGCGAUUAGGUCAAGUCCAGUGCAUGCCAAUGCUCCUCGAGAGCUCACAAUGCAUGAUUUGGUGCACGAUCUUGCAACGAUAAUUUUGGGUCAUGAAUCUAUUGUUCUAAAUGCUACUGAUCCGAGGACUAGGAAGAAAGCAAAACAUCGUUAUUGCCGACAUGCACAGUUGAUCAACUACCAGAAUCAGUAUAAGGUUUUCAAUUAUCUGCCAGGCAACAUCAGAUCCUUCCAUGUAAGACAUUCAGAGAAACAGCAGCUUCCCCAAAAGGCAUUUUCCAGAACCAAGUACAUACGGGUCUUGGACAUAAGUGGAUGUUUAGUUGUGGGGCAAUCUACUCCAAGCAACAUACUUUUGCCAUGUUCCGUGCUUCAGUUGAAGCUACUUAGGUACCUUGAUGCCUCUAGCCUGCCAAUCACAUCACUUCCUGAGUCUUUCCAUUCACUUCAAAAUAUGGGAACUCUAAUUCUGUCCAAUUGCUCACUUGCAACCUUGCCUGACAGUAUCUGUAGCCUCAACAAACUCUGCUAUUUGGACCUAGCUGGCAAUGCGAGCCUCAGUAAGCUCCCUGACAAUUUUCAUCUUCUUAACAAACUCAUGUUCCUAAACAUGUCUAGUUGUUCCAAGCUAACCGAACUUCCUGACAAUUUUAGCCUGGAGUGUUUAGAACAUUUAAACCUAUUAGGUUGUCAUGAGAUAAAAAAUCUACCACAAGAUUUCGGCAAUCUUGAAAAUCUUAGGUUCUUGAACCUUUCUGAUUGCUACAAGAUUUCAGUUCUACCAGAAUCAUUUUGCCAACUGAAGCAUUUGAAAGACCUAAACCUUUCAGAUUGCCGUGCCCUUAUAGUACUCCCUGAGUGUUUUGGCGACCUUUCAGAACUUGAAUCUUUGAACGUAACAAGUUGUCCCAGGCUAGCACGGUUGCCUGAGUCAGUCUGCAAGAUGACUAAUCUGAAGUGUCUCAAUUUGUCAUAUUGCUUAGGGAUGCUAGAGCUCCCCUUGUCACUAGGUGAUCUUAAUCUCCAAAUAUUGGACAUUUCUGCUGGUGCUCUCGGUCACUUGCCAGAUAGCAUCAGUAAAAUGGCUAGUCUCACCCAAUUUGUGGUCACGUCAGGACAUCCUAGGGUAUUUGGAGAAGCCCAGGAAAUUAAGAAGAGUCUAAAUUUACCAGGCCGCACAGUACACAGAGUACGCAACACAGGAAGAUACAACAGUAUUGUUGAGCUUGGACAUGUGAAUUGCCCUGAGCUGUUAAUUCGAUCGCUUCAGCGUGUCAAGAGACCGGAAGAUGCAGAGACAAUCAAGCUGCGUGAUAAAUCAUGUCUUAGACAGCUAGCUCUCCAUUGGAAUCAGAAGAAUAUGAAUGCUGAUGCAUCCUCGGCUGAAUCUAUUUUGGAGAGGCUCAUACCAGCUCGAAAUCUUGAACAGUUUAUGAUACAAGGCUAUAUGAGCAAGGGUUUCCCUAACUGGAUGUCGCACAUAUCCUCCCACCUCCCUUCUGUUACCUAUCUGAGUCUUUUUGAUUUAGGUGCAUGUGAUAAUCUUCCUCCAUUUGGGCAGCUACCAAAUUUAAGAAGUCUAUAUCUGCAGAAAAUUCCCAACGUCACGAAAAUUGGCAAGGAAUUCUAUGGAGAGGGUGGAACUUGUACGAAAUUAAGAUUGCUACAGUUGAAGUCGAUGGACAAUUUGGUGGAAUGGUGGACAACACAGACAGGCGAAGAAGAUGGAGAAUUUUUAAUCCCUAAUUUGCAUAAUCUAGAGUUGAAGGACUGCCCAAAGUUGAAGUUCCUACCAUAUCCCCCCAGAAGUAUGUUUUGGAUCUUGGACAAUAGCAACGAGGCUUUGGCAGGACCAAGACUUGGAUUUUGGGAACUCUCGUCUUCCACUCUUCCUUGUCGCAUGGGUAUAAAAAAUUGCAUCUUUCGUUCUUCCGAGUGGUGCAUACUACAGCAAUUCCCCGCUCUCGAAGAAUUCUCAUUGACCUCCUGCCGCGGCUUGAGGGCCUUGCCAGAGGCCAUUAGCUGCUUCACCUCUCUCAAAAAACUAAGUUUGAUGUCGUUGGAGGACCUUGAGAUGCUGCCGGAUUGGUUGGGAUAUCUCCCUUCUCUACAAGUCUUGGGCAUAAAAGAUUGUCGCAAUUUAAGAAUAUUGCCUGCAAGUAUGGGAAAUCUCACUGCUCUGAGAGUACUAAUGCUUCUCGAGUGCGAAGGACUAUAUAGAUUGCCGGAAUGGCUAGGACAGUUCAGUUCCCUGCGAGAACUUCACAUCAGAGACUGUUCCAACAUCACAUUUUUGCCUGAAAGCAUAAGAAACCUUACUGCCCUGGAGGAAUUGUACAUUUCUGGAUGUUCAAGUCUGGUCCAUAGGUCCCGAAGGGAGGAUGCAUGUAAGGUUUCUCACAUCCGUAAAGUAAUAUUAGAGCCAGAGGAAGAACCAAAUGAAGAAGGACAAGAAGAAUUAUUAGCGCAAGAAGAAGGAUUAGAGUAUGCACAGGAAUCAUGUAUGGAUAGCCUAUGGAGAGAAUUAAGUGAAAGAUGGUCAAGACAUAGAGAGGACCGAGAAGAACUAGAGAUGUCGGACUCAGACUCUGAACAUCUCUAUCGUUUUGGGCAAGAAGAUUCAGAAAAUGAGGAUGACGAGCAAGAAUAUUGGGCAAACGAGGAUGACAAGCAAGAAGAUUGGUACCUAUAA